This 989-nucleotide ribosomal RNA is filed under the name uncultured bacterium. RNAcentral's name for it is "bacterial SSU rRNA". It matches the Rfam family "Archaeal small subunit ribosomal RNA", at positions 343 to 1336 of the family's 1478-position model. The record is from RNAcentral.
AAAACUUUACAAUGCGGGCAACCGUGAUAAGGGAACCUCGAGUGCCUGUAUAUGCAGGCUGUUCAGGUGUCUAAAACACACCUGAAGAAAGGGCCGGGCAAGACCGGUGCCAGCCGCCGCGGUAAUACCGGCGGCUCGAGUGGUGGCCACUUUUAUUGGGCUUAAAGCGUUCGUAGCUGGGUUGUUAAGUCUCUUGGGAAAUCUGGCGGCUUAACCGUCAGGCGUCUAAGGGAUACUGGCAAUCUUGGAACCGGGAGAGGUGAGGGGUACUUCGGGGGGUAGGAGUGAAAUCCUGUAAUCCUCGAGGGACCACCUGUGGCGAAGGCGCCUCACCAGAACGGCUUCGACAGUGAGGGACGAAAGCUGGGGGAGCAAACCGGAUUAGAUACCCGGGUAGUCCCAGCCGUAGACGAUGUGCGUUAGGUGUAUCGGUGACCACGAGUCACCGAGGUGCCGAAGGGAAACCGUGAAACGUACCGCCUGGGAAGUACGGUCGCAAGGCUGAAACUUAAAGGAAUUGGCGGGGGAGCACCACAACGGGUGGAGCNUGCGGUUUAAUUGGACUCAACGCCGGAAAUCUCACCGGAUAAGACAGCGGAAUGAUUGCCGGGCUGAAGACUCUGCAUGACUAGCUGAGAGGAGGUGCAUGGCCGUCGUCAGUUCGUACUGUGAAGCAUCCUGUUUAGUCAGGCAACGAGCGAGACCCACGCCAACAGUUGCCAGCAUGGCCUCCGGGCUGAUGGGGACACUGUUGGGACCGCCUCUGCUAAAGGGGAGGAAGGAAUGGGCAACGGUAGGUCAGCAUGCCCCGAAUUAUCCGAGCUACACGCGGGCUACAAUGGGCAGGACAAUGGGUAUCGACACCGAAAGGUGAAGGCAAUCUCUUAAACCUGUCCUUAGUUCGGAUUGUGGGCUGUAACUCGCCCACAUGAAGCUGGAAUCCGUAGUAAUCGCGUUUCAAAAUAACGCGGUGAAUGUGUCCCUGCUCC